RNAcentral lists this ribosomal RNA (253 nucleotides) under uncultured bacterium. RNAcentral describes it as "partial 16S ribosomal RNA". It matches the Rfam family "Bacterial small subunit ribosomal RNA", at positions 524 to 776 of the family's 1533-position model. The record is from RNAcentral.
UACGAAGGGGGCUAGCGUUGCUCGGAAUCACUGGGCGUAAAGCGCACGUAGGCGGCUUUUUAAGUCAGGGGUGAAAUCCCAGGGCUCAACCCUGGAACUGCCUUUGAUACUGACGAUCUGGAGAUCGGGAGAGGUUGGUGGAAUUCCGAGUGUAGAGGUGAAAUUCGUAGAUAUUCGGAGGAACACCAGAAGCGAAGGCGGCCAACUGGCCCGAUACUGACGCUGAGGCGCGAAAGCGUGGGGAGCAAACAGG